UACGGAGGGUGCGAGCGUUGACCGGAUUUACUGGGCGUAAAGCGUGCGUAGGCGGCUAUGUAAGUCGGAUGUGAAAUCCCCGAGCUUAACUUGGGAAUUGCAUUCGAUACUGGGAAGCUUGAGUAUGGGAGAGGAUGGUAGAAUUCCGGGUGUAGCGGUGAAAUGCGUAGAGAUCUGGAGGAAUACCGAUGGCGAAGGCAGCCUUCUGGCCUAAUACUGACGCUGAGGUACGAAAGCAUGGGGAGCAAACAGG
Molecule: unclassified non-coding RNA, 253 nt
Filed under: uncultured Moraxellaceae bacterium
Lineage: Bacteria; Pseudomonadati; Pseudomonadota; Gammaproteobacteria; Moraxellales; Moraxellaceae
Description: contains 16S-23S intergenic spacer region
Rfam family: Bacterial small subunit ribosomal RNA
Source: RNAcentral